UACGUAGGGGGCUAGCGUUGUCCGGAUUUAUUGGGCGUAAAGAGCGUGUAGGCGGCCUGGUAGGUCAGCUGUGAAAACUCGAGGCUCAACCUCGAGACGCCGGUUGAAACCAUCAGGCUAGAGUCCGGAAGAGGAGAGUGGAAUUCCCGGUGUAGCGGUGAAAUGCGCAGAUAUCAGGAAGAACACCCGUGGCUAAGGCGGUUCUCUAGUACGGUACUGACGCUGAGACGCGAAAGCGUGGGGAGCGAACAGG
Molecule: ribosomal RNA, 253 nt
Filed under: uncultured bacterium
Lineage: Bacteria
Description: partial 16S ribosomal RNA
Rfam family: Bacterial small subunit ribosomal RNA
Source: RNAcentral